GAUCAUGGCUCAGGACGAACGCUGGCGGCGUGCUUAACACAUGCAAGUCGAACGGUGAAGGGGCCUGCUUUUGUGGGUCCUGGAUGAGUGGCGAACGGGUGAGUAACACGUGAGUAACCUGCCCCCUUCUUCUGGAUAACCGCAUGAAAGUGUGGCUAAUACGGGAUAUUCUGGGUCUGUCGCAUGGUGGGCCUGGGAAAGAUUGCGCCUUUUGGGUGUUUUUGGUGGGGGAUGGGCUCGCGGCCUAU
RNAcentral lists this ribosomal RNA (248 nucleotides) under uncultured bacterium. Its description in RNAcentral is "partial 16S ribosomal RNA". It matches the Rfam family "Bacterial small subunit ribosomal RNA", at positions 15 to 241 of the family's 1533-position model. The record is from RNAcentral.